Transfer RNA from Kockovaella imperatae, 93 nucleotides. It matches the Rfam family "tRNA". From Rfam's summary of the family: Transfer RNA (tRNA) molecules are approximately 80 nucleotides in length. Their secondary structure includes four short double-helical elements and three loops (D, anti-codon, and T loops). Further hydrogen bonds mediate the characteristic L-shaped molecular structure. tRNAs have two regions of fundamental functional importance: the anti-codon, which is responsible for specific mRNA codon recognition, and the 3' end, to which the tRNAs corresponding amino acid is attached (by aminoacyl-tRNA synthetases). tRNAs cope with the degeneracy of the genetic code in two manners: having more than one tRNA (with a specific anti-codon) for a particular amino acid; and 'wobble' base-pairing, i.e. permitting non-standard base-pairing at the 3rd anti-codon position. Lineage: Eukaryota; Fungi; Basidiomycota; Tremellomycetes; Tremellales; Cuniculitremaceae. The record is from Rfam.
GGGGAAAUGGUUUAGGGGUAUAACGUGUCAUUAGCAUCUAAUGCGCUCAACUCCGAGUUGACAAGGUCCGGGGUUCGAUUCCCCGUUUCUCCA